RNAcentral lists this long non-coding RNA (3728 nucleotides) under Sus scrofa (pig). RNAcentral's name for it is "lncRNA (ENSSSCG00045027048.1)". Lineage: Eukaryota; Metazoa; Chordata; Mammalia; Artiodactyla; Suidae. The record is from RNAcentral.
UUUUUCUUUUUUUUUUUUUUUUUUUUUUUUGUCUUUUUGUCUUUCCUUGGGUCACUCUCACGGCACAUGGAGGUUCCUGGCUUCAGUUGCCCCAAGCUAUACCUCUCUCUUCUGAUCUAUCCAAGAAAAUUAAUUUCUCUUUUUACCUAAACUAGUUCCAGUAGAAUUUUUGUCACUUUCCAUCAGGAAAUCCCUGACUAAUCUAAAAAAUAAUCCCUUUGAGGAAAGCUCAAUUCACAAAUUUGGCAAUCUUGUUGGAGCCCCCAUUAUAUGAAGUUACAGCUCUAGUGUAAUUUCAAACACAGACUGGAAGAGAUGUGAUAAAUGUUAAAAAAAAAAAAAUGGUUAUUAUUUACCACUUAAAGGGACAACAUACUCAUAUUUGCAUUUGGAAACAAGAUCUUGCAGCCAAAACCUGCUAGGCAAGAGUGCAGAACCUAAACAUAGACACACAGUCAGCAGUCUUACUAGGAAUCUAGUCUGUCAAUUUCACUAACUUCAUCUCCCAAUCACACCCCAUAUACACACCCAGCACUCCAAACUAUCCAGAUUUAAACAUCUUUUGCAACAGAAUGUUAAUUUCACAUGUUCACCAGGAAGAUAAAUUUUUGCACCUAGCACACUUGAGAAGUAAGAUAAACUGGGGAUGAUAUUCUAAAUAUUUAACAACCAGACCAGGAAGGGCAUGGAGCAAUCAGAAGAGAGGCUGGCUAGCAACAGCUCUACAUGUGAACGUUAAGUCUCAAAGCAGAGUGCAUGAAAAACUAGGAUUCUGGACUCCAGCCUCCAGGGAAACCUCAGGUUUAGGGAUUGAGAGAACCCCAGUAGGCUGACAAUGAGGGGCUUGCAAAGAGACUUUGAGCUGUGCCUCAGCCCAUCCAUCAGUCAAUCAGCCAUCCGCUGUCAACAGGCACAAAUGGUCACAAGCCACUCCACCACUGUAUUUUUAUAGGCUUCUGAUCACUACUUUAAGUUAAUUCAUUGCUUCAUUAGACAUGCUAAUUCCGUAAAUCAAUACAGCGAAGGCACUUUGCUCCAGGUCCCUUCCUAUCUCUGCCAGAUCUCUACGCAGAAGUAGCCAAAACACAAUCGACAGCAGACAUGUUGUGAUUUCUGUGUUUCAAAGAAUCAGAGUCCAGCCAUCCAAAAAAGUGCUCUAAACCAAUUUAAAUCCACUCAGACCCUUGAGUAAAUGGCAAAGAAGAAGGCCAGUGCGUUCUCCUGCACAGCAAAAUAUUCUAAAUGCCCUUUGAGCAGAGUUCUUUUGGUCAGUCUCUGUCCUCAUGCCAUCUCUCUCCCCCUCCCAGCCAUGGACUCCAGAAAAAUUCUCCCUCUGACAGUGACUCCUGAAAAUUCUCUUUUCCAGCUCUAAUCAUCUCCCACUCUCCCUACUAAAAUUAAGUCCAAGGGGCUCUACUUGCCUUUGCCCAAAGCUUCGAAAUCAUCGUAGAGGCUCAGAAAACUUUCCUUCUGAUCCCUCCCUCCCUGCCCCUUGCACUGCCUCCUGCUCCCACCACACCGCAACAGCAGCUUCCAAGAGAGGGGAAGCCAUGGCUGCAGGCUUACUUCCUCUGGCUGGGAGCACCAAGGACUCCUUACCACCCAACUCACACCCCAGGGGAGGGAGAUGGUGAAACCCCCUCCUCCAUAUUCUGGUGGAGACUCUCUGGUGAAUGGAAUGUUCCAUCUGCUUGUACAUGUCCCUACUUCAGGACAACUUGUAUCGUUUUCCUAGGGUUUUCAUCCCCAGUUCUUGUAAAUGCCUUAUAUCCGACUCCGAGGCACCCUUAGACAACCCCUGCCAGGAGGCCCUCUCACCAGGGUCAGCCAUGUGGCCUUAGCUAAUUACACUCCCUCUGAGUUGGGAGGAUAACCUCAAGGUACCAGAUUAAUCUGCUGCUUCUUUUUCCCUCUCUUUACAUCCGAGCCCUGGAAGAACAAAAGACCUCAGAAUAGCAUGACAAGCCUUGUCUGGUUUAAGGAGCUCUGACUUAAGAACUGGAAAAUAAGAGUUCCUGCUGUGGCACAGUGGGUUAAGGACCCAGCAUUACCACAGCUAUGGCAUAGGUUGCAGCUGAGGCUCUGAUUCAGUCCUUGGCCUGGGAACUUCCAGAUGCCUCGGGUGCAGUUGUUAAAAAAAGAGAGAGAGAGAGAGAAUUGGAAACCAUAGGUUCUGGUCCCACCCACCACCACAAGCUGGUUGACUCUGAACCCAUGAGUUCCGUUCUGGGGGACUCAAUUUGAAGGUGUUGGACUACACAGAGGGUUUCUCAGCAGGAGGAGAGAUGUCUAAGCAAAUGGCCUUUUUCAUUUGUAUUUAUUUGUUGGGAUUGAUCAUAUGAUUGAUUGCACUUAGAGAGAAAAAAAAAAAAACAGUGGCUAAAAAUGUUUUAAAAACACUGCCCUAGAUGAUAUCUCCAAGGUCCUUCCAGUUCUAAUUGUCCAAGAGUCUGUGAUUUUCCCCACUGGCCUCUAUUUGUAGAGGAAGUCAGCAAUGAGCAAUCUUUUUUUCCAUUUUCCAAAUCAAUCAGGGUAUGACAAGCAGUUAUAAUCGAACUUCCUUAAGCACUCUAACUGGGAGAUGUCUUAGGGAAAAAUCAUUACCCUAGAUCAUGGGUUAAGUAAUCUCCUCUCUGGCAGUGCUGAUCUCUCUGAUCAGCAUCCUUAGGGGUAGCUAUUUGUAAGUGGCCUUACUCCUCUGGGCUCCAACAAAACCACUGGCAUCAUCCUGAGGACAGAUGGCCUGACAAAAUAAUCAUGGGGGAAUAAAAUCAUUCUCGUGGGAGAAUAAAGUUCUGCAGGCCACCUCCAAAUCAGGAGCAGGCAGUGACUAAAGGAGGAAGCCAGGGGAUGGGAGGGGACAUUGUCUUACCAAUUGAUGCAGAAAGAGAUUUUGCCAACCCACAAUACCUCCUCCCUCUGUCCCUCUAGCCAAUGCUGUUGACCUUCCUGUUCUCUGCUCCUUUUGCUGGAUUUGGCAAUGAUUUCUUGGAUAUAACGUGAAACAAAAAGACAUAGGCAACAAAAGUGAAAAAAGAUAAAUAGGACUUUGAAAAAUUUUUUUAAUAUUUGUUUAAAUUAAAAAAUUUUAAAUAGGACACUAUUAACAGAGUGAACAGGCAAUCUGCAGAAUGGAAGAAAAUAUUGCAAAUUAUAAAUCUGAUAAGGGAUUAGUAUCCAUAAUAUAUAAAGAGCUCCUACAACUCAACAAGAAACCUCAAUGAUCAAAUGGGCCAAGAACUUGAAUAGAUAUUUUCCCAGCAGACAACAUACAACUGUCCAAUAAGCACAAGCACUUCUGAGGCAGAGCAAGGAUGUGCUCCCAAUGUGCUUGCUGGGUGAGUGCAUCCAGAUGAAAGAAUAAAUCCCAGCCAUAUAAACCAGGGAAUGUGUCUCCUUCAAAUGAAAACACUGAUCACCACCUGCCUCCCCUCAGACACUAUUCUGCAAUGGAUUUUUAGAGCUUUUACAUUCAACAUACUAAUUACAGACCAAAGAAUGUGCAGAUUCAAGCAUUUUUCUUUUUACCAUGUUUCCUGAUCUUUAUGAAGAAUUAAUUUAAAUUUUUUUUCUGUUUAAAAAAAUUUAUAGGAGUUCCCUGGUGGCCUAACAGUUAAGGUCUCAAACUUGUCACUGCUGUGGUUCAAGUUACUGCUGUGGGUCAGGUUCAAUCCCUGGCCCGAGAAACUUUCACAUACCACAUGUAGCCAAAAAAAAAAAAAAAAAAA